CACAUGGUACCAAAGUCUCUGUCACCAGAGAGAGGACCAUAACAUAGACCCCAUAGACCAUGAAAGGCACAGUGAUACCUCCUUCACCCUCUGCCUGGCUUCUGCUUCUGUCCUGUUUGAAGGAGUUGGAAUGGAGUCAUGAAUGCCUGCUCCAGUGUGACAGCUCAGGUUUACGGGAGGGCUCAGCCCGAGUCUGUUCUGCCAUUUCACGCAUGACCGUAGACACCUGACAUGAACCGCUCAUCACAGCGAGCAGAUCCAGAUCAAAUAGGCUAAGUCAGUCACAGAGAGAUUCUGUCCAGGCAGCUGGAGCUGUGCACUUCACAGACGUCGCCUCUUGUGCCAAUGGAGAUCACCUGGGCCCUCACCCCCCAUCAGCUGUUGUCGUUUGUAUUUGUUCCUGCUUGCCUUUUUUCCUGCUAUCAAGCUUGUCUAACAGGAAGUAACCUUAUCCAGCAGAGGCUCUAUGGAGAAUCAUUGAAAGGCUGUGACCAAGGGCAGCAUCUCCUCUCAGGACAGCAGGGAGGGCCUUGCCUGCAAGGU
Long non-coding RNA from Apodemus sylvaticus (European woodmouse), 543 nucleotides. RefSeq lists it as uncharacterized. The record is from RefSeq and is a predicted model, not a curated record. Lineage: Eukaryota; Metazoa; Chordata; Mammalia; Rodentia; Muridae. The transcript is spliced from 3 exons.